UAACGCGUAGGUAACCUGCCUUGUAGCGGGGGAUAACUAUUGGAAACGAUAGCUAAUACCGCAUAACAAUGAAUGACACAUGUCAUUUAUUUGAAAGGGGCAAUUGCUCCACUACAAGAUGGACCUGCGUUGUAUUAGCUAGUAGGUGAGGUAACGGCUCACCUAGGCGACGAUACAUAGCCGACCUGAGAGGGUGAUCGGCCACACUGGGACUGAGACACGGCCCAGACUCCUACGGGAGGCAGCAGUAGGGAAUCUUCGGCAAUGGGGGCAACCCUGACCGAGCAACGCCGCGUGAGUGAAGAAGGUUUUCGGAUCGUAAAGCUCUGUUGUAAGUCAAGAACGAGUGUGAGAGUGGAAAGUUCACACUGUGACGGUAGCUUACCAGAAAGGGACGGCUAACUACGUGCCAGCAGCCGCGGUAAUACGUAGGUCCCGAGCGUUGUCCGGAUUUAUUGGGCGUAAAGCGAGCGCAGGCGGUUUGAUAAGUCUGAAGUUAAAGGCUGUGGCUCAACCAUAGUUCGCUUUGGAAACUGUCAAACUUGAGUGCAGAAGGGGAGAGUGGAAUUCCAUGUGUAGCGGUGAAAUGCGUAGAUAUAUGGAGGAACACCGGUGGCGAAAGCGGCUCUCUGGUCUGUAACUGACGCUGAGGCUCGAAAGCGUGGGGAGCGAACAGGAUUAGGUACCCUGGUAGUCCACGCCGUAAACGAUGAGUGCUAGGUGU
RNAcentral lists this ribosomal RNA (724 nucleotides) under uncultured bacterium. RNAcentral's name for it is "bacterial SSU rRNA". It matches the Rfam family "Bacterial small subunit ribosomal RNA", at positions 111 to 823 of the family's 1533-position model. The record is from RNAcentral.